Molecule: RNA transcript, 7328 nt
Organism: Mus musculus (house mouse)
Lineage: Eukaryota; Metazoa; Chordata; Mammalia; Rodentia; Muridae
Gene: Dock6
Gene name: dedicator of cytokinesis 6
Exons: 50
Source: RefSeq, marked validated
CGGCUGGGGCGGGUCGAAGUGCAGGCCCCGCCCCAUCAGCACAGGCCCCGCCUCUCCCGCGCGCCUGCUCCGCCCAGCCCGGCUGCCCAGACUCGGGAGGCUGCGGCGGGACGCGGGGCGUCAUGGCGGCCUCGGAGCGCCGCGCCUUCGCUCACAAGAUCAACAGGACUGUGGCUGCUGAGGUCCGGAAGCAGGUGUCCCGGGAACGCAGCGGCUCACCCCACUCCAGCCGUCGCUCCAGUAGUUCCCUGGGGGUCCCUCUGACGGAGGUCAUCGAACCCCUGGACUUCGAAGAUGUGCUUCUGAGCCGGCCACCUGAAGUAGAGCCCGGUCCCCUCAGGGACUUGAUAGAGUUUCCAGUUGAUGACUUAGAACUACUGAAGCAGCCCCGAGAAUGCCGGACCACAGAGUCUGGGGUGCCAGAGGAUGGACAGUUGGAUGCCCAGGUGAGGGCUGCCGUGGAGAUGUACUCAGAGGACUGGGUCAUUGUACGCAGAAGGUACCAGCACCUGAGUACAGCAUACAGCCCCAUCACUACAGAGACACAGCGAGAGUGGCAGAAAGGCCUCACCUGCCAAGUCUUCGAGCAGGAUACCCCUGGGGAUGAGAGGACAGGUCCUGAGGAUGUGGAUGACCCCCAGCACUGUUCAGGCUCCCCAGAGGACACCCCUCGAAGCAGUGGCGCCUCAGGCAUCUUCAGCCUGAGGAACCUGGCAGCGGACUCUCUGCUGCCCACACUGCUGGAGCAGGCAGCCCCCGAGGAUGUGGACCGGCGCAAUGAAGCCCUCAGGCGGCAGCACCGGGCCCCCACCCUGCUCACCUUGUACCCGGCACCUGAUGAGGAUGAAGCUGUAGAACGCUGCAGCCGCCCUGAGCCACCCCGAGAGCACUUUGGACAGAGGAUACUGGUGAAGUGCCUGUCACUCAAGUUUGAGAUUGAAAUUGAACCCAUCUUCGGCACCUUGGCCCUGUAUGAUGUGCGGGAGAAGAAGAAGAUUUCAGAAAACUUCUACUUUGACCUAAACUCGGACUCCGUUAAGGGGCUGCUCCGGGCCCAUGGCACCCACCCAGCCAUCUCCACCUUGGCACGCUCUGCCAUCUUCUCCGUGACCUACCCAUCUCCUGACAUCUUCCUGGUUGUCAAGCUGGAAAAGGUGCUGCAGCAGGGGGACAUCAGUGAGUGCUGUGAACCCUACAUGGUGAUGAAGGAGGCAGACACAGCGAAGAACAAAGAGAAGCUGGAGAAGCUGCGCCUGGCUGCCGAGCAGUUCUGCACCAGGCUGGGCCGCUACCGCAUGCCCUUCGCCUGGACGGCUGUGCACUUGGCCAACAUCGUGAGCAGGCCCCAGGACCGGGAUUCCGACUCUGAGGGCGAACGCAGACCCACCUGGGCCGAACGCCGCCGUCGGGGGCCCCAGGAUCGAGGCUAUAGUGGGGAUGAUGCCUGCAGCUUCUCUAGCUUCCGCCCGGCCACGUUAACUGUCACCAACUUUUUCAAACAGGAGGCAGAACGGCUCAGUGAUGAAGACCUUUUCAAGUUUCUGGCCGACAUGCGGCGACCAUCAUCCCUGCUGAGGCGAUUGCGCCCUGUGACAGCUCAGCUCAAGCUUGACAUCUCCCCGGCCCCCGAGAACCUGCACUUCUGCCUGUCCCCUGACUUACUUCAUGUCAAGCCCUACCCUGACCCCAGGGGACGGCCCACCAAGGAGAUCCUGGAGUUCCCUGCCCGCGAGGUCUACGCCCCCCAUUCCUGUUACAGGAACCUGCUCUUCGUGUACCCACACAGCCUCAAUUUCAGCAGUCGCCAGGGCUCUGUGCGCAACCUGGCUGUGCGGAUCCAGUACAUGGCCGGUGAAGACCAGAGCCAGGCCUUGCCGGUCAUCUUUGGGAAAUCUAGCUGCAGCGAAUUCACCCGAGAGGCCUUCACACCAGUGGUCUAUCACAACAAGUCUCCUGAAUUCUACGAGGAAUUCAAGCUACGACUUCCUGCCUGCGUGACCGAGAACCAUCACCUCUUUUUUACCUUCUACCAUGUCAGCUGCCAGCCCCGGCCAGGAACAGCCUUGGAGACGCCUGUGGGCUUCACUUGGAUCCCUCUGUUACAACAUGGCCGCCUGAGGACUGGUCCCUUCUGCCUGCCCGUGUCCGUGGACCAGCCUCCACCCAGCUACUCGGUCCUGACCCCAGAUGUAGCGCUGCCUGGCAUGCGCUGGGUGGACGGCCACAAGGGCGUGUUCAGUGUGGAGCUCACCGCCGUGUCGUCCGUGCACCCGCAGGACCCCCACUUGGAUAAGUUCUUCACGCUGGUACAUGUUCUAGAGGAAGGGAUCUUUCCGUUCCGACUCAAGGAGACAGUGCUGAGCGAAGGCACUAUGGAGCAGGAGUUGCGAGCCAGCCUGGCAGCCCUGCGCCUUGCCAGCCCAGAGCCCCUAGUAGCCUUUUCCCACCUCGUGCUAGACAAGCUUGUCCGCUUGGUUGUGCGGCCACCCAUCAUUUGUGGCCAGAUGGUGAACCUGGGUCGAGGGGCCUUUGAAGCUAUGGCUCAUGUAGCCAGCCUUGUGCACCGGAACCUGGAGGCUGUCCAAGACUCCCGUGGCCACUGCCCACUGCUGGCCUCCUAUGUCCACUACGCCUUUCGCCUCCCUGGUGGUGACCUCAGCCUGCCAGGCGAAGCCCCUCCAGCAACUGUGCAGGCUGCCACACUGGCCCGUGGCUCUGGUCGCCCCGCCAGCCUGUACCUGGCACGGUCUAAGAGCAUCAGCAGCAGCAACCCUGACCUGGCUGUGGUCCCUGGCUCUGUGGACGAUGAGGUGUCCCGCAUCCUAGCCAGCAAGGGUGUCGAUCGCUCACACUCCUGGGUGAAUUCUGCUUAUGCUCCGGGAGGCAGCAAGGCUGUGCUGCGGCGGGUGCCCCCAUACUGUGGGGCUGAUCCCAGACAGGCCAUCGACCGCAACUCUAGCCGGGCCUCCUCUUACCUCGAGGCCUCAUCCUCGGCCCUGCCAGCCCCUCAGUCGAGACACACUGUGCAGAAGCUGCUGCACGAGGAGCUGGCUCUGCAGUGGGUGGUGAGCGGCAGUGCGGUUCGUGAGCUAGUCCUGCAGCAUGCCUGGUUCUUCUUCCAGCUCAUGGUAAAAAGCAUGGAGCUCCAUCUGCUUCUGGGCCAGCGACUGGACACUCCCCGCAAGCUGCGCUUCCCUGGGCGCUUCCUGGAUGACAUUGCCGCCCUGGUGGCUUCCGUGGGCCUGGAAGUCAUCACCAGAGUCCAUAAGGACAUGAAGCUAGCUGAACGCCUCAACGCUAGCCUGGCUUUCUUCCUCAGUGACCUCCUGUCCAUAGCGGACCGAGGCUACAUUUUCAGCCUGGUACGCGCUCACUACAAGCAGGUGGCCACUCGGCUCCAGUCUGCCCCCAACCCAACUGCACUGCUCACACUACGAAUGGACUUCACCCGCAUCCUGUGUAGCCAUGAGCACUAUGUGACCCUUAACCUCCCCUGUUGCCCCCUGUCGCCCCCAGCAUCCCCGUCCCCCUCGGUGUCCUCCACUACCUCCCAGAGCUCCACCUUCUCCAGCCAGGCCCCCGAUCCGAAGGUGACCAGCAUGUUCGAGCUGAGCGGGCCCUUCAGGCAGCAGCACUUCCUGUCCGGACUCCUGCUGACAGAGCUGGCCCUGGCCCUGGAUCCGGAAGCUGAGGGGGCAUCCCUUUUGCACAAGAAGGCUAUUAGUGCCGUGCACAGCCUGCUGUGCAGCCACGAUGUUGACUCCCGCUACGCAGAAGCUACCGUGAAGGCCAAGGUGGCCGAGCUGUACCUGCCCCUCCUCUCCCUUGCAAGGGACACACUGCCACAGCUGCAUGGCUUUGCCGAGGGCUCAGGGCAGCGGUCAAGACUGGCUUCCAUGCUGGACUCAGACACAGAAGGUGAAGGGGACAUCGGAAGCACCAUCAACCCAUCUGUGGCCAUGGCCAUCGCUGGGGGUCCCCUGGCUCCUGGCUCUCGCACCAGCAUUUCCCAGGGACCUUCAACAGCAGCUCGCUCAGGCUGUCCUCUCUCUGCUGAAUCCAGCCGGACCUUGCUGGUGUGUGUCCUGUGGGUCCUGAAGAAUGCAGAGCCAACGCUCCUGCAGCGCUGGGCUGCUGACCUGGCCCUGCCCCAGCUGGGGCGACUCCUCGACCUACUCUACCUCUGUCUGGCUGCCUUCGAGUACAAGGGGAAGAAAGCCUUUGAGCGGAUCAACAGCCUCACGUUCAAGAAGUCUCUGGACAUGAAAGCGCGGCUGGAGGAAGCCAUCCUGGGCACCAUUGGGGCGCGGCAGGAGAUGGUGCGGCGGAGUCGGGAGAGAAGUCCAUUUGGAAACCAAGAGAAUGUUCGCUGGCGGAAGAGUGCCACACACUGGAGACAGACCUCAGACCGUGUGGACAAGACCAAGGAUGAAAUGGAACAUGAAGCUCUGGUGGACGGAAACCUGGCGACAGAGGCCAGCCUGGUGGUUCUGGACACGCUGGAGACCAUCGUGCAGACAGUGAUGCUGUCCGAGGCCCGUGAGAGCAUCCUGAGUGCCGUGCUGAAAGUUGUCCUCUACAGUCUUGGGAGCGCCCAGAGUGCCCUGUUCCUGCAGCAUGGCCUGGCCACCCAGCGGGCCCUGGUCUCCAAGUUUCCGGAGCUGCUUUUCGAGGAAGACACGGAGCUUUGUGCCGACCUGUGCCUGAGACUUCUGCGACACUGUGGCAGCCGCAUCAGCACCAUCCGCAUGCACGCCAGCGCCUCCCUCUACCUGCUUAUGCGCCAGAACUUCGAGAUUGGCCAUAACUUUGCCCGUGUGAAGAUGCUGGUGACCAUGUCUCUGUCGUCCCUUGUGGGGACAACUCAGAACUUUAGUGAAGAGCAUUUGAGAAAGUCCCUCAAGACCAUCCUGACCUACGCAGAGGAGGACAUAGGGCUGAGGGACAGCACCUUCGCUGAGCAGGUCCAGGACCUCAUGUUCAACCUGCACAUGAUCCUGACAGACACGGUGAAGAUGAAGGAACACCAGGAGGACCCUGAGAUGCUCAUGGACCUCAUGUACAGAAUUGCUCGGGGAUACCAAGGCUCUCCAGACCUGCGGCUGACAUGGCUGCAGAACAUGGCUGGCAAACAUGCAGAGCUGGGCAAUCAUGCAGAGGCUGCCCAGUGCAUGGUCCACGCCGCUGCCCUGGUGGCCGAAUACCUUGCCCUCCUCGAGGACAGUCGCCACCUGCCUGUGGGCUGUGUGUCCUUCCAGAAUGUCUCAUCCAACGUGCUGGAGGAGUCUGCCAUCUCUGAUGACAUCCUGUCGCCAGAUGAGGAGGGCUUCUGCUCUGGGAAGAACUUCACAGAACUGGGUCUGGUGGGGCUGCUGGAGCAGGCGGCCGGCUACUUCACCAUGGGUGGUCUGUAUGAAGCGGUGAACGAAGUCUACAAAAACCUUAUCCCCAUCCUUGAAGCCCACAGAGACUACAAGAAGCUGGCUGCGGUGCACGGGAAACUGCAGGAGGCCUUCACCAAGAUUAUGCACCAGAGCUCUGGCUGGGAGGUGAGUCCUGGUGAACAGUGGUCAACGAACACUAGGGGGCGCCAGAACAGCAUGGCACCCCUCCAUAGGGGCCUGAGCUCAGUGGUUGAUGACGCACAGUCCCCUACUUAUUCCCUUCCCCCAAAUGCCCCAUCUCAGGGGCAGCCUGUGAGUCACCCAGCUGGGAACUCUCCAGAGACACCCCUCCCUCGGGUAGGACCAGCUCAGUCACCACCAGGACUGUGGGUGGAAGAGGAAUGGGGCUAUCUCUCCCUCUCCGUCUCAUUCCUUUUCUCCCUCUGCCUUAGGGCUCCCACGCUCUCUCCAUCUCAGUCUCCCGACUCCCGGCUUUGCUCGGGACAACUACUCCUCAUCUCUGUCAGGGUGCUCCCCACAAAUCCCGCCUUGCCUUCUCCUUUCUAUUUUUAGGCAUCUCUCAGUUGAGGGAGAAUUUUCUGGCCAAAGAUGGCAGAAACCCAGAGCCCUAGGCAGGCUGGGUGGGGGCAAGUGGGUAGGUCCCCGCCUUUCCUGCAUCGGAGAUCUCCUUCUCCCUCUACAGAACGAUUCUCAUAGGGGGGUAUAAGCAGGACCCUGGGAGGGGUAACUCUGACCUCUGACCUCUCCAAUGACUGCAUCUCUCUGUCUCCCAUCUUUCCAUUCUUGUUUCUGGCCACACAAUGUCUGCCCCACCCUGUCUGGAUCGGCUUUGCCCAGCGUGUAUUUGGGACAUAUUUCCGAGUGGGCUUCUAUGGCACACGAUUUGGUGACCUGGAUGAACAAGAGUUUGUGUACAAGGAACCGUCAAUCACGAAGCUUGCAGAGAUCUCACACCGGCUGGAGGAGUUCUAUACGGAAAGGUUCGGGGAUGAUGUGGUAGAGAUCAUCAAAGAUUCUAACCCAGUGGACAAGUCCAAGCUGGACCCACAGAAGGCGUACAUACAGAUAACCUAUGUGGAGCCACAUUUCGACACUUAUGAGCUCAAGGAUCGGGUGACCUACUUCGAUCGGAACUAUGGGCUGCGGGCCUUCCUCUUCUGCACACCCUUCACACCAGAUGGACGUGCGCACGGAGAGUUGGCCGAACAGCACAAACGCAAGACGCUGCUGAGCACGGAGCAUGCCUUUCCCUACAUCAAGACACGCAUCCGAGUGUGCCACCGUGAGGAGACAGUGCUGACACCAGUGGAGGUGGCCAUUGAGGACAUGCAGAAGAAGACCCGGGAGCUGGCCUUUGCCACCGAGCAGGACCCUCCAGAUGCCAAGAUGCUGCAGAUGGUUCUCCAGGGUUCUGUGGGACCCACUGUGAACCAGGGUCCCUUGGAAGUGGCCCAGGUGUUUUUGUCAGAGAUCCCAGAAGAUCCCAAGCUCUUCCGACAUCACAACAAACUCCGGCUCUGCUUCAAGGAUUUCUGCAAAAAGUGCGAGGAUGCACUGAGAAAGAACAAGGCCCUGAUUGGCCCAGACCAGAAGGAGUACCACCGGGAGCUGGAGCGUCACUAUAGCCGCCUGCGGGAGGCUCUGCAGCCUCUGCUUACCCAACGUCUGCCCCAGCUGCUGGCACCAAGUUCCACCAGCCUCAGGAGCUCCAUGAACAGAUCAAGUUUCAGGAAGGCUGACCUCUGACAAGGCUAAGAGCCACACCCAGAAGACCAGCACCCACACCUCAGCUGCCUGUGCCUUUCUGGAGUUAUAGCUGCCCCGAGUCGAAGUCCUAGGAGAUGAGCCCCCUGUCUGUCUGCACUGAUGGAUUCUAAAUUUUGUUUUUGUUUGUUUUUAAUUUAAAGUGAGUUUUAUAUACAA